Long non-coding RNA from Pongo pygmaeus (Bornean orangutan), 252 nucleotides. RefSeq lists it as uncharacterized. The transcript is spliced from 3 exons. NCBI's taxonomy places the organism in Eukaryota, Metazoa, Chordata, Mammalia, Primates, Hominidae. The record is from RefSeq and is a predicted model, not a curated record.
AGGAGAAGACAGCCACCAUGCAGAUUGGAAAAUCUGGACGAGGAGAAAAGGGGUAUACGAUUCUCCAAGCUUCCUGCUGACCCCCUUGCUCUCCAUUCCUGCUGUCUCACUAGUUCCUUGACCUUCUGUGAUCUCCUGAUCUGAUUUUCUGCUGGAAUCACAGGAUCUGGCCCUUUCCCUCUCUCCACCUCACUCCUGCACUGCACUGACCCAGCCUGGCCCACCUCUGGCCACUCCUCCACAGACUGAGGU